CGCAGAGAGUUCCAGAGACCCAAAGAGAAGCAGAAAACAAUGGGAAAAUAAAUGCAAAAAGAAGUAGAGAAGAAUCGAGAAACAUGAGGAAAAAGAGAGAGAAAAGAGGGGGAGAGAAACAAUAACUAGAAUUGCAAAUAAACAGGAAAGGAGCAGCAACAUCGACGUGAACAAGGUCGAAUUAUGCUUCUCGCUUGGGGUUGAUUCUUGACUGCAACAAGGAAAUAUCGAGGUCAGGACACUUGGUGAUGGAAUUAUUCCUGUGGAAAUUCGUCAUUUUUAGC
Long non-coding RNA from Olea europaea var. sylvestris, 284 nucleotides. RefSeq lists it as uncharacterized. Lineage: Eukaryota; Viridiplantae; Streptophyta; Magnoliopsida; Lamiales; Oleaceae. The record is from RefSeq and is a predicted model, not a curated record. The transcript is spliced from 3 exons.